This 1224-nucleotide long non-coding RNA is filed under the name Coturnix japonica (Japanese quail). RNAcentral's name for it is "lncRNA (ENSCJPG00005000174.1)". The record is from RNAcentral. Lineage: Eukaryota; Metazoa; Chordata; Aves; Galliformes; Phasianidae.
AUGGGUUUGUGGUUUGCAGCUGCAUUACUGUGCUUGCAAUGCGUGCUCAGGGUUUGCAAAUGGGUUUGUGGUUUGCAGCUGCUUUUUGGGGCUUGCAGAGUGUUUGCAAUGCAUGCUCAGAGUGGGCACCUGCACUUGGAGUUUGCAAAUGUGUUUGUGGUUUGCAGCUGCAAUUUGGGGGCUGCAGAGUGUUUGCAAUGCAUGCUCAGGUGCUUGCACUUGCAGUUUGCAAAUGGGUUUGGAGUUUGCAGCUGCAUUUGGGGCCUGCAGUGUUUGCAAUGUGUGCUCUUGGCAUGCACCUGCACUUGGAGUUUGCAAACGGCUUUGGUGUUUGCAGCUGCAUUGCUGUGUUUGCAAUGCGUGCUCAGGGUUUGCAAAUGGGUUGGGGGCUGCAGCUGCAAUUUGGGGUCUGCAGCUGCACUUGGAGCAUGCACAGUGUUUGCUAUGCGUGCUCAGGGCAUGUGCAUGCACUUGAAGUUUGCAACUGGGUUUGGUUUUGCAACUGGGUUUGGGGUUGCAACUGAACUUGGGACAUGCACAGUGCUUGCAAUGCAUGCUCAGGUUGUGCAAAUGCACUUGCAGUUUGCAAACGGGUUGGGGGCUGCAGCUGCAAUUUGGGGUCUGCAAAGUGUUUGCAAUACAUGCUCAGGGUUUGCACCUGGGUUUGGGGUUUGCAUGUGCCUGCAAAGUUUGCAGUGCAUGCAACUGGUUUGCAAAUGGGUUUGGGGGUUUGCAGCUGCAAUUUGGGGGCUGCAAAUUGUUUGCAGUGCAUGCUCAGGGUUUGCAACUGGGUUUAGGGUUUGCAGUUGCAAUUUGGGGUCUGCAGUGUUUGCAAUGUGUGCUCAGAGUGUGCACAUGCACUUGCUGUUUGCAACUGGGUUUAGGGUUUGCAGCUGCACUUGGAGCAUGCACAGUGCUUGCAAUGCAUGCUCAGGGUUUGCAGCUGGGUUUGGGUUUGCAAAUAGGUUGGGAUCGCAGCUGCAAUUUGGGGCUGCAGAGUGUUUGCAAUGCGUGCUCAGGGUGUGCACGUGCACUUGGAGUUUGCAAAUGGGUUUGGGGUUUGCAGCUGCACUUUGGGGUCUGCACAGUUUGCAAUGCAUGCUCAGGGUUUGCACCCGGGUUUUGGGUUUGCAAAUGGGUUUGGGGUUUGCAGCUGCAAUUUGGGGGUCUGCAAUGCUUGCAAUGCGUGCUCANNNNNNNNNNNNNNNNNNNNNNNNNCCGCUC